Molecule: long non-coding RNA, 1677 nt
Filed under: Olea europaea (common olive)
Lineage: Eukaryota; Viridiplantae; Streptophyta; Magnoliopsida; Lamiales; Oleaceae
Description: long non-coding RNA (OEUR_LNC008111)
Source: RNAcentral
ACAUGCCCAUAAUUUCCCGCACUCUUUAUAAUGUUGAUAUUUAUGGAGAGAAUUUUGAGGAUGGAGAGUCAUUUUUGAGAUUUCCAUUGAUGGUUGGGUGGUCUCAAUCAAUGGAGCGCAAGUCAAGAAAUUCUUAUAAUAAAAAGAAAAGAGAAGAAUUUGAUUUGAUGCUCACAAGUGACAAUGUAAGUUUAUUUUAUUUAUGUGAAUUUUUAGUUACUCUACUCUAAUAUUCUUUAAUUUUCAAUUAAUUUUAUGUUAUUUUCUUUCGUUAGAUUAUGUGGGGGCCAUAUGCCAAAUUUUGGGACGAUUUUCUGCCCAAGUAUCUUGUUGAGAAGAUGGAUCUUGUGCUUUUAUGCACAAUAUUAAUAUGUUUUGAAAAAUUGGCAUACCACAGGCCAGACUUGUGUCUGUUGAAGCUAAACUUACGAGCUAAUUUAGUUCCACGUGAAUCAUCAUUGGUUAUCAUCAACAAGAAGCGCACUGCUUCACAAAAAUUUGAUUGGGCUGUGAGAUAUGCAAAUUUUGUAAAACUGUGGGGUGAGCGAAGAUUAAAUUUUAUUGUGAACGAAAAUGGUAAUUUAUUUAUCUUGUCCUUUUUUUAGUGUGUUAAAUUUUAUUUAUGUUUUAAUGUAAUCAUGUUUUUUAUGUUUGGUAGAUGUGGAUGAAAAUCAAGGGGCUUCAAAUUCUAAUGGGAAUUUAUGGACAUUUUGGUUAAUGUUAAUUGUUUGGUGUUUUUCAUUGCUAAUGUUUAGUCUUUUUAGUAGAACAUCAAACACCAAUGAUGCCAGGAGGAGAUAAAAGUAAUCUAGAGGAGUACUUUCAUAGCCCAAGCAUUGGUGAGUAGAGUGGCCAACAUCAUUAAUAACGCAUAUGAUGCGUGGACCUAGAGUUGAACGUAAUAUUGACGGUACUGAUAUUGGAGUGGCCAACAUCUUUGAUGAAUGGCCAAAUCGAACACCUAUAAUGCCUGGGGUUGAAAGUAAUAUUGGCGUUACUGAUAUUGGAGCGGCCAACAUCAUUGAUGAAGGGUUGAAUCCUGAAACCGAGGCUCAUGAAAGUCUUGUUGAUCAAACUCCUACUGGGCCAUUUGAAGCAAGCCCCAAUUAUGCUGUGGAUGCUGAAGGCAUAAGGCAGGGCAAGAGGGCGAAGAAAACCCCACAAUUGUUUGGUUUAUUUAAGGUUGAUUCAGCCAUCCACAAAAUUCAUGGACAUGACGGUUGAAUGGCAAUAAAGGGUAACCCAUGCAGUUGGUUUUAUAUAAUUUAUCAAGAUGGAAAGAGGGUAAUGAAUGUUGGUUUUGUAUCAUAUGUAGGAAAUUUUCUCAGCUUGAGGAUAUUUUCUAUACAAAAGGUUAAAAAUUUUGGAAAAGAAGCACAAGUCCUGAAAAAGAAGUAUCUGGAAUCUAGUAAUGUAUAUAAACUUGUAUGCUUGUGUUCCUCGAAUUAUAGGCACUUCUACUGACUUCCAGGUUUUGUUUCUUAAUCAUUGUAGCUAGUGGACUUCAGAUUUGGGAAGAAGUUUUCUGGUGUGCCACCUUCAUUUACGUUCAUGUUUUCCUGCUUUACUUCCAUGGUUUUCCUGCUGACUAGUAUGCCACCUUCAUUUAGUUUCAUGAUUUAAAUUACAACAGGUUUUGUUUCUUAAUCAAUGUACCUAAUGGACUUCAUGUUCGGG